GAUGAAGAACGUAGUGAAAUGCGAUAAGUAGUGUGAAUUGCAGAAUUCAGUGAAUCAUCGAAUCUUUGAACGCACAUUGCGCCCGCCAGUAUUCUGGCGGGCAUGCCUGUCUGAGCGUCAUUUCAACCCUCAUGCCCCUAGGGCGUGGUGUUGGGGAUCGGCCAAAGCCCGCGAGGGACGGCCGGCCCCUAAAUCUAGUGGCGGACCCGUCGUGGCCUCCUCUGCGAAGUAGUGAUAUUCCGCAUCGGAGAGCGACGAGCCCCUGCCGUUAAACCCCCAACUUUCCAAGGUUGACCUCAGAUCAGGUAGGAAUACCCGCUGAACUUAAGCAUAUCAAUAAGCGGAGGA
RNAcentral lists this unclassified non-coding RNA (348 nucleotides) under soil metagenome. RNAcentral describes it as "partial contains 5.8S ribosomal RNA, internal transcribed spacer 2, and large subunit ribosomal RNA". The stretch from base 1 to 120 matches the Rfam family "5.8S ribosomal RNA", at positions 35 to 154 of the family's 154-position model. The record is from RNAcentral.